UCAGGUGAUGUUUUGGUGCUCUCUGUCCCU
Molecule: non-coding RNA, 30 nt
Filed under: Mus musculus (house mouse)
Lineage: Eukaryota; Metazoa; Chordata; Mammalia; Rodentia; Muridae
Source: RNAcentral